Molecule: ribosomal RNA, 980 nt
Filed under: Streptomyces sp.
Lineage: Bacteria; Bacillati; Actinomycetota; Actinomycetes; Kitasatosporales; Streptomycetaceae
Description: bacterial SSU rRNA
Rfam family: Bacterial small subunit ribosomal RNA
Source: RNAcentral
GCAGUCGAACGAUGAAGCCCUUCGGGGUGGAUUAGUGGCGAACGGGUGAGUAACACGUGGGCAAUCUGCCCUUCACUCUGGGACAAGCCCUGGAAACGGGGUCUAAUACCGGAUAACACCUGCCCGGGCAUCUGGGUGGGUUAAAAGCUCCGGCGGUGAAGGAUGAGCCCGCGGCCUAUCAGCUUGUUGGUGAGGUAGUGGCUCACCAAGGCGACGACGGGUAGCCGGCCUGAGAGGGCGACCGGCCACACUGGGACUGAGACACGGCCCAGACUCNUACGGGAGGCAGCAGUGGGGAAUAUUGCACAAUGGGCGAAAGCCUGAUGCAGCGACGCCGCGUGAGGGAUGACGGCCUUCGGGUUGUAAACCUCUUUCAGCAGGGAAGAAGCGAAAGUGACGGUACCUGCAGAAGAAGCGCCGGCUAACUACGUGCCAGCAGCCGCGGUAAUACGUAGGGCGCAAGCGUUGUCCGGAAUUAUUGGGCGUAAAGAGCUCGUAGGCGGCUUGUCACGUCGGGUGUGAAAGCCCGGGGCUUAACCCCGGGUCUGCAUUCGAUACGGGCUAGCUAGAGUGUGGUAGGGGAGAUCGGAAUUCCUGGUGUAGCGGUGAAAUGCGCAGAUAUCAGGAGGAACACCGGUGGCGAAGGCGGAUCUCUGGGCCAUUACUGACGCUGAGGAGCGAAAGCGUGGGGAGCGAACAGGAUUAGAUACCCUGGUAGUCCACGCCGUAANCGGUGGGAACUAGGUGUUGGCGACAUUCCACGUCGUCGGUGCCGCAGCUAACGCAUUAAGUUCCCCGCCUGGGGAGUACGGCCGCAAGGCUAAAACUCAAAGGAAUUGACGGGGGCCCGCACAAGCAGCGGAGCAUGUGGCUUAAUUCGACGCAACGCGAAGAACCUUACCAAGGCUUGACAUACACCGGAAANCGGCCAGAGAUGGUCCCCCCNNUUGNGGNCCGNNGUACAGGUGGGNGCAUGGCUU